RNAcentral lists this ribosomal RNA (1077 nucleotides) under Xenomeris raetica. Its description in RNAcentral is "SSU rRNA". It matches the Rfam family "Eukaryotic small subunit ribosomal RNA", at positions 51 to 1137 of the family's 1831-position model. Lineage: Eukaryota; Fungi; Ascomycota; Dothideomycetes; Mycosphaerellales; Mycosphaerellaceae. The record is from RNAcentral.
AUGCAUGUCUAAGUAUAAGCAACUAUACGGUGAAACUGCGAAUGGCUCAUUAAAUCAGUUAUCGUUUAUUUGAUAGUACCUUACUACAUGGAUAACCGUGGUAAUUCUAGAGCUAAUACAUGCUAAAAACCCCGACUUCGGAAGGGGUGUAUUUAUUAGAUAAAAAACCAAUGCCCUUCGGGGCUCCUUGGUGAAUCAUAAUAACUUAACGAAUCGCAUGGCCUUGCGCCGGCGAUGGUUCAUUCAAAUUUCUGCCCUAUCAACUUUCGAUGGUAGGAUAGUGGCCUACCAUGGUAUCAACGGGUAACGGGGAAUUAGGGUUCUAUUCCGGAGAGGGAGCCUGAGAAACGGCUACCACAUCCAAGGAAGGCAGCAGGCGCGCAAAUUACCCAAUCCCGACACGGGGAGGUAGUGACAAUAAAUACUGAUACAGGGCUCUUUUGGGUCUUGUAAUUGGAAUGAGUACAAUUUAAAUCCCUUAACGAGGAACAAUUGGAGGGCAAGUCUGGUGCCAGCAGCCGCGGUAAUUCCAGCUCCAAUAGCGUAUAUUAAAGUUGUUGCAGUUAAAAAGCUCGUAGUUGAACCUUGGGCCUGGCUGGCCGGUCCGCCUCACCGCGUGUACUGGUCCGGCCGGGCCUUUCCUUCUGGGGAGCCGCAUGCCCUUCACUGGGCGUGCCGGGGAACCAGGACUUUUACUUUGAAAAAAUUAGAGUGUUCAAAGCAGGCCUUUGCUCGAAUACAUUAGCAUGGAAUAAUAGAAUAGGACGUGCGGUUCUAUUUUGUUGGUUUCUAGGACCGCCGUAAUGAUUAAUAGGGAUAGUCGGGGGCAUCAGUAUUCAAUUGUCAGAGGUGAAAUUCUUGGAUUUAUUGAAGACUAACUACUGCGAAAGCAUUUGCCAAGGAUGUUUUCAUUAAUCAGUGAACGAAAGUUAGGGGAUCGAAGACGAUCAGAUACCGUCGUAGUCUUAACCAUAAACUAUGCCGACUAGGGAUCGGUGGAUGUUACUAUUUUGACUCCAUCGGCACCUUACGAGAAAUCAAAGUUUUUGGGUUCUGGGGGGAGUAUGGUCGCAAGGC